GAAAAGAAAAGUAGGGGUUAGUGGACAAAAUGUUUAAAAGCAAAAAGUGGAUAAAAUCAGAGGAUUCCAAAUAUCAGGCUAUUUUUUUUUCAAUAAACCAAGAGGAGCGAUCAUCCUUAAAGAUGCGUCAAUUCACAAAUAAACUCCUCUGCAUUUGACAUGUUUGCAUAUUUAUCUCCAACGCAAUGGCUUUUCUUGUGGAAAAAUUUGUGGCAUAUCUGGCA
RNAcentral lists this long non-coding RNA (224 nucleotides) under Mytilus galloprovincialis (Mediterranean mussel). The record is from RNAcentral. Lineage: Eukaryota; Metazoa; Mollusca; Bivalvia; Mytilida; Mytilidae.